UCCCGUGUUGGUGACUUGAACAAUCAAUUUCUUGCCCUGGACGGGUCCUGUCAAGAAAUUAAGCUCGUAGCAGGCACAACACCAGUCCCAUUCACCCUGAUUCGAGAGAUAAGCCUGAAAAAUGGUAUGCAUUACAAUUUAGCAUUUAUCUAUGAGGGUAUUCGUAAUAUGAAAGGUGAGUAAGAAAUCAGAGUUCUACUUACUGCAGCAAACCCAUAAGCCAAGUUAUCAUUGACAGCCCAUGGCUGAUUGUUGUUGCAUGUGUAGGAAGCUAAAAACAUAAAUUAUUUAAAUAUUUUGGGGAUGACAGAAUGUUUCUUAUGCUUGUUUUUAUCUUUCUCGUACGUCCUCCAUUGCACCCACUCUGAGCGUUGACAUCGAUAACUCGUACACCGUCCGCCUCGCAGGUAUCCACAGGUUUAUUCACUGGACCUUUGUCACCCCAACCGCAGGACGGCUAAUGUCAAUUAUUUUGUAAGGAAUAAUAUGCCUCUCAUAAUGGGACAAUUGGUGUACCUUCAUAAUGUUCUGUUUUAAAAGGAUCAAAAACAAGUCAACCAUCCGAUAUCAAUAAAGGUUCUAAUUAAAUUUGGGUUCGGUCGUCAUCUAUUUAUACGAAUUUUCAAGCUGCAUAACCAUUUUCCACAAUAAGGCUGACAUCAAGACGUUUUGAUUGAUCGAUUAUUGAUUAUUGUGCAUGCAUUAUUAUUGUCAAAUGAAAUUAUAAAGCAUGCUGUCACAUACUUCUAAUCAGUGUUUAACAAGGUGUGCCAUUCCAACUACAUAUGUACAGAUACAAUUUCCAUUCGUCGUUGCACCCAAAUUAUACAUACAUACACACGACCAGAGAUACAUAUCUUCCCAAAGAAGAACAAAGUAACAUGCCUCAUCGUGUGCAAAAUUAUAUAUCAAUCAAAACAUCACAAAAUCAGCACAUGCACAAAUAUUUACAAAAACUGUCAUACUUAUCUUGGUCCAACUUAUCUUUAUGAAUAUCUCGUACAUUGUGCAAAUAGGAAUAAAGUCACAUACUUUAUAGUUUCACAAAAUAUUUGUUAGCAAAAAAUGUAAAUUAGUAUCUGAUAAUAACAAUGCUCUUAUUUCUUGAUAAGCGAUAACCUUGAUAACUAAGCUGUCCAAUUAAAGUGUACAUGAUGAACAACUAUUUAUAGAUACUCACAUUGAGUUAAUCGAAACACUACAUAACAAAAAUUGAGAUAAUAAAAAUGAUAGCUUAUUUAGCUGACAUUAAAUAAUAAUCAAUACAAUUAAAGAGUAAUAUAUUUUUGUCCAAAUGACGAGUAAUUCAUAAGUAAAUUAAUAUUUCAUUAUUAUGAAAAAUUGUAUACAUGACAAGUCGCAAUACUUAAGUGUUUUGUCUGUAGUUUGGCGUAAAGUGGAAAUUAAGGAUUACGCUGUUACGAAUGCAUUUCAGAAAAAGGUUUGAGCUUGUUUGGUGCAUAUCAUAAGGAUUGCAAAGAAGGUGACCUCCCCGACUUUCUCGGCAUUGAAUGUAGACCAGAAAAUAACAUACGGAACAAAUCUCUGAGACUGUUCCCACAAGAGCUACGAGAGGUCUUCAAACGACGAGAUGUCUUCAAGGCAAAAUUUACAUGGUUUUGUACCAAACUCCAAUUGAAAAAGGCCUCACAAUAAAAGGGUGUGACUGGGUUCCGGUGGAGUUGGGACUGGUCGAGAAUUGUGCUCCUACUAAAGAAAAUGACCUCAAUGGGAUGCUGUGCCAAUGUAACACGGACUUGUGCAAUGGAUCACAAAAAUUAGUAUCAACUUUUAUUUUCAUAACCGUCCCAUGCAUUGGCACAUUAAUGUACUUUUUGGCUAAUAAAAUAUAACGUAGUAAAAUAUUUAGCAAAUAUGUACACAUAAAUUAUUUAUAAACAAGUUACUUAAUCUGUGCCAAUUUAUUCAGUGGGGGAAAAAUUCCUUUAUCUUGGUCAUACUGCAGACAACAUGCUUCGCCAUCCCAAAUUAACUGAUUUUUUGGACAUCCAUUAAUCCUGUGUUAUAAAAUGAAACAAUUAUUUUUUAAAUAAUAAAACGUGCAAAAAUUGAUAUUAA
RNA transcript from Folsomia candida, 2079 nucleotides. RefSeq lists it as uncharacterized. The transcript is spliced from 6 exons. Lineage: Eukaryota; Metazoa; Arthropoda; Collembola; Entomobryomorpha; Isotomidae. The record is from RefSeq and is a predicted model, not a curated record.